UCUCCAAAGUUCAGAUCUACCGACAUACAGUUAACAAUUUAUUCAGGGUGGUGGGACGUAAACUAAAAGACCAUGAGGUGGUGAUCAAUUGUGCCAUUCUUAAAAAUUUGAAAUACAAUAAGGCUACGCCCACAUUUCACCAGUGGAGAGACAGUCGUCAUGUAUAUGGUCUUAAUUUUGCGACCAAAGAAGAUUCAGAAAUAUUUGCAAAUGCGAUGUUGACAGCAUUAGACGCACUGAACAAUCAAGGAAAAUGAAUGGCUGCUCCAGCAGGUCUCAAGACAAAAGGAACUGAAGAUAAUAAAUAACACUCAAUAUAAUGGUGGUUAUCAUUAAGGGAGUGCAGUGCGCCUUGUUAUGUAUUUAUGUGAACCAUUUAUACUUGAUAUAUGCUACAUUUAAAAACAAUUGAUAUCGUGAUCAUAACCUAGUUUCUACUUGACUGUUCUAUAAAUAUCUGAGUAUAUAGACAAUUUUAGAAAAUUAUAUUUAUGUAGAAUCUACAUGUAUCUAGAUACAAAAUGUAUGUUGCUACAGAAGAAUAUUCAGAAAAAUUCUUUUUUUUUUCACAAAUAGUUUCGCAUUUCUUAAAAUGAUAGCUUUAUGUUAAACGAUAGUAGAAUUUUAGCAUAUAAAUAUUGAAUUACAUUUACUACAAUGAUUAGUACGGAAUCUCUAGAAUUAUUUUAGUCAUUCUUUGUCAGGAAUUAUUUCUAGUUAAACAUCUGUGGGAAUACUAUACUUACAAUUAUAUUUGACAUUUGAAAGAAAAAUAUAUGAACACAUUGAUGUUUAAUUAGACAGGAUUGACGUUUAAUAAGGCCUGUUCGUUAUUUUAUAAAGCUGCUGUUAAACACUUGAAAUUUUUGUAUUUUAUUGUUGUUUAUUGUUUUUUUAUCGUAACAGUCGUAUUUCUGUUUAAUCAAUCAGGGUUGCCAAAUCUUGCUCGACAUUAUACAUUGUCUACAGUAAAUUCUUUUGUGCGUCAGCAUAAAAAUUAAAAAGUUUUUGUUACAUUACUGUGUUGAUGAAGAAUGUUUUUAUGGAAUUGCACUUUUAAUUACUAUUGAAGCAAUUCGACACUACGUUCGACCAAAAAUGACCCAGAUUAUACAAAAUACAUGACACUUGUUCCACAUUUGUAAGGAAAAAAAUGAGUUGAUAAGUAUUUUUUUCUGUUUUCAAAAAGGGCUGAAUAUUAAAAAGGCUGAAAGAGCACUAUCUUCACAAAAAGUUUUAAUUGGUAAAGACAGUACAAUUUAUACAAAACUUACAAAGAUUUAAACAGUAUGGCAUUGUUUAAAACUUAAGAUAAUGAAUAUGUCCAUGAGGUUUGCACGCAGAAAAUACCAAAAGAGAAAGAGGUCAAAUAAUUAUAAAAUUUGCUGGCGUAAGAUAAUUGUUACUUCGUGGAUAGUGUUCGUGUAAUGAAAUAAAUAGAAAAUGUGGAUGUAUUAGGCAACCUUACAUAAACCAUAGUCAUCUAAUGAACCUAUGGGUCAAAGUGUAGUAUCUCGUCGUACAUAAACGUAUUGUAAGAGACCUGUGGUCGCAUUCAUAAAGCUCCUAAGGAGGAGAAAUACAAAUGUACCACAUUAUUUUCUUUCGCUUUUACAUAAAAUCUAAGUAUUUUCCCAAGCUUUUAAAAUUUUACAAUAAGUAUCCAUAAAACAAAGUAGAAAAUGAAAAACAUUAUCAACAAAGAUGGUCUCUUGAUACUGGGUCGGUUGGGGGUUGCGUUCAUUGAACACCGCCUUUCCUUGUUGAUCUUGUUUAUCAUGUUUUUCAUUCAAAUAACGCAUUCCUAAACACAGGAACACCGGCAAGGACACUUCCUUUACUUCCAUAAGCGGCAAAUUUCUUUACUUUAGCCGAUUCCUUUUCUUAGAAUUCAAAUCCAUUAAUGCUCAUUUUAGUUUAAAUUAAAAAAAUAGUAGAAAAUCCUAAAACUAAAUGGCUUGUGUACUUUUUCCAAUGAUAGAUCAAAUACGUUUCAAUAAUGAAAUUAACCAUAUUUUUCAAAUACAUUUCUGUUAAAAUCUUGUUUUUUAUUAAUGUAUUACCUAACGUAAAUUCCCGUAUAGGGGUAUUGUUGUUGAUUUUUCAGAUAAUUGUGCUUUAUUGUUUUUUAAAGUUUCACUUGAUUCACAUUAAGCUACCUUUAUAUAAGGAAUUAUUAUUCAUUCACUGCUUUUUUAAGUUUGGCAUUUAAAGCAUUUUACAAUACAUAUUACAAUCUUACAAUUCAGUUAUACUGUUUGUUUUAUGAUAUGAUUUGUUUUCAAAUAUAUUUCAUUUUAUUAUUUUCAUAUGUCUUAAGAUUUUAAACAUUUUCACUAUAAUUUUAUGUCCGAUCACUUUUAUUGUUUAAAACAGCACAGCACGCCUUCAGAUUCAUGUUCAUUGUUAUAAAAAAUUAGAAAUGUAUUUAAAAGUAAAAUAAUGUAAGGUGAACAAAAAAAGUAAUUUUCAUAUCACAAUCGGCACUUACAUCCACGAAAACUACCAAAAAGUGGGCAACAUAUGCAAUACAGCCCUUACUGCUUUAGUAACGCAAUAAAAUCCCGCAAAAUCAGUCUUAAACCGCACAUAACCUGUAAACUUUAACUUGGAUCUUAAAUGUUUUUACCUUUCUUAAAAUGUUAGUACAUUUUUCCCAAUAUUGAUUUUUCUUGGGUUUCUUGGAAUAUUUUGGCUCAUCGGGAGGCAUGCAGCUUUAAAGAUUUUCACUAUGAUUAAAUUUUCGAUCACAAAUCUAUUUUAUGUAUAAUCUCACACUGAUAUCACUAUUUCGAUAUUCCUGGGUAUAAUUAACAUGUGUGUUAUCUCAUGUGUAUAGCAUGUAAUCAGUAUUUACACUAAUCAUUUGCUUAUAAAAGAUUAAAAAAUGAUUAGUUAGAAUUUGAGACAGUGUAUAUUUAUGCAUGUAUUUAUAUUGUGUACGAUAAUUAGAAACUUGUUUUCU
Ruditapes philippinarum (Manila clam) is the source of this 2965-nucleotide long non-coding RNA. RefSeq lists it as uncharacterized. Lineage: Eukaryota; Metazoa; Mollusca; Bivalvia; Venerida; Veneridae. The transcript is spliced from 3 exons. The record is from RefSeq and is a predicted model, not a curated record.